Molecule: long non-coding RNA, 1134 nt
Organism: Cucumis melo (muskmelon)
Lineage: Eukaryota; Viridiplantae; Streptophyta; Magnoliopsida; Cucurbitales; Cucurbitaceae
Exons: 2
Source: RefSeq, a predicted model, not a curated record
GCUUGAUUAUAAAUACAUUAAUCUUAUCUCAGAAAUUGAUGCUUUGAUAAUCUCUAAAACUAAAAAGAACUAAAGGGGGAUUUUGCAAAAAAUUGAAACUUUUUUAGUUAUAAAAAUAAAUAUAUAUAUCCAUUAACGUCGUUUUACAUUUCAUUUGGAAAAACAAUUUCUAUAAAUAUUGGAAGUUUAUUUAAUUAUUAUUUCAAAUGGUAAAAAUCAACACUAGUCGGGUCGGAUCAGGCGGUAAAGAUCCGAAAAGCUCCAAAUCGUAAAAAAUGAAACCCUAAAAAAUUGAAAUCCUAUAAAUUCAAAGCGAAGAUUGUGCAAUAAAAAUUGUACAGACAAUUUCCUUCAAACCCUAAAACAUGGGGAAGAUUUCUAUCUCGAAGCUUAGAGCUGCAAAACCAUCGACAAUGUCUAAGCCAAAAUUCAAUCCAUUACAAAGAAGGUUUCGUUUAAUAUUCAUUUUGGGGAUUGAAAAUUGGAAAUGAAAUGUUAGCCAUAAACAGGAAUUCCAUCGGAAUCCGAAGCCAGUGAUUUUCGCUGGAAAGCAGCUUCAAGAUGGCCGAACGCUAUUGAAUAUUUACAUUCAAAGAGAUGUUAUGCUGAGGGCUAGGAAUUUGAGGAAGGUAAGGUGCGAUCCUAUCAGUUUGAGGAAGAUCUGUAGAUUGAAGUAUUGUUGCAUAUAAGAUGAUUCUUGUUUCUCACCAAAUACAUCAUCAAAGAGCUAUCUAUCUCACAAAGAGUGAGAAUGUCUACUAAGUUUAGUGUAGAUUUCAACACUUUAAUCUGCACAUAGUAAUCUAAAAAGUAUUAAGGUGCUCUAUUUGAAAACGUGCCUUGAGUAUUAAGGACAGUAUAUUUGUAUAUUCGUCCCACAUAAAAUCUCAUGGGAAUGAAAUUGCUUAGUGUCAAAAGUAACCAACAAAUGCAAACAAAAUGUCAUAGAAUUUGAGGACACAGGUUUACACCUUCCAAAACAAGAAUUUUAUUAAGACAUGGUGAAAGAAGAAGUAAGAGGUGUAUGAAGACCAAAAUUGAGCGUAAUUAGAUUAUUCCAUUUUGUAAUUUGAAACUUGUGGAAAAAUAUGAAAAGGAUUACAAAACUUUAUUCUGAAAAUUAAGAUUGAAUAA